Molecule: ribosomal RNA, 484 nt
Filed under: uncultured bacterium
Lineage: Bacteria
Description: partial 16S ribosomal RNA
Rfam family: Bacterial small subunit ribosomal RNA
Source: RNAcentral
AUUGAACGCUGGCGGCAUGCUUUACACAUGCAAGUCGAACGGCAGCGCGGGCUUCGGCCUGGCGGCGAGUGGCGAACGGGUGAGUAAUGCAUCGGAACGUGCCCAGUAGUGGGGGAUAGCCCGGCGAAAGCCGGAUUAAUACCGCAUCCGACCUGAGGGUGAAAGCGGGGGACCGAAAGGCCUCGCGCUAUUGGAGCGGCCGAUGUCGGAUUAGCUAGUUGGUGGGGUAAAGGCUUACCAAGGCGACGAUCCGUAGCUGGUCUGAGAGGACGACCAGCCACACUGGGACUGAGACACGGCCCAGACUCCUACGGGAGGCAGCAGUGGGGAAUUUUGGACAAUGGGGGCAACCCUGAUCCAGCCAUGCCGCGUGCGGGAAGAAGGCCUUCGGGUUGUAAACCGCUUUUGUUCGGGAAGAAAUCCUCUGGGCUAAUACCCCGGGGGGAUGACGGUACCGGAAGAAUAAGCACCGGCUAACUACGUG